UGAUUUGCAUGUACCCCCCAAACCAGCCCAGCUGCAUGGAUUUUAUAAACCUGGCCUUGAUAGUGAGGACUGAGCAGCUUUAGACAGGCAGGUGAGGAAGGAAGAUGGAGUCACAGACACAGGUCCUUAUGUCCCUGCUGCUCUGCAUAUCUGGUGCCUGUGCAGAUAUCUUGAUGGCCCAGUCUCCAUCCUCCCUGGCUGUGUCAGCAGGAGAAAAGGUCACCAUCAGCUGCCAGUCCAGUCAGAGCCUUUUAUCUGGCAGCACAAACUACUUGAGCUGGUAUCAGCAGAAACCAGGGCAGGCUCCUAAACUGCUGAUCUAUUAUGCAUCCAAUCGAGGCACUGGGGUCCCUGAUCGCUUCACAGGCUUUGGGUCUGGGACAGAUUUCACUCUCACCAUCAGCAGUGUCCAGGAUGAUGACAUGGGAGAUUAUUUCUGUCAGCAGGGUCGUAGCUAUCCUCCCACAGUGCUUCAGCCUCCAACAAAAACCUCCCCUGAGAGUCUCACCAGCUGCCUGCACCACAUGCAGCCGUGGACCUGCACACUUCUCCUCCUGACUGAGAGCCUGAACACUCAUAAAAUACUCAUGAAAAUAUUUGCAGAGCCCGAAAAAAUAAUGGGUUCAAUGUCACUUAUAUCUUUUAAUAUGAAAAGCUUUUAUAUAAAAGUGCAAAGGAGAAUUUAUCAUUAUAUUCCUUCCAUAAUACAUUACCACAAACUCUGCUGUUUGAAUAUGAGGAACUUAUCUUUUUAUAGUAGUGGAGUCUGGUGUCCAACAGAAGACUCUUUUGUCUGA
This is a non-coding RNA of Mesocricetus auratus (golden hamster), 797 nucleotides long. The record is from the annotation of a RefSeq genome assembly. Lineage: Eukaryota; Metazoa; Chordata; Mammalia; Rodentia; Cricetidae.